This 236-nucleotide long non-coding RNA is filed under the name Lathyrus oleraceus (garden pea). Its description in RNAcentral is "Pisum sativum (pea) long non-coding RNA (PSAT_LNC035588)". The record is from RNAcentral. Lineage: Eukaryota; Viridiplantae; Streptophyta; Magnoliopsida; Fabales; Fabaceae.
UUGGAGCCCUUCUCAUGAUGAUGCAAAGUUCUUAUACUUGUGGGUGACUAGUUGAGUAUUCUCCUUAAAAUGGCAAAAUGUCUUUCCAUUAAAAAUGAAAAAAAAAUACCUUUGUUAUUUUUACCAUAAACUACGAUGUUUUGAUCCUCCAUUGCACUUUUUUAGUAUGUAGGCAUGAGACUUCAAAAGUCUUGGCAAACGCAAAAAAAAUCAUUAAAAAAAUAUACUUCUUUUCC